GAUCCCAUAGCUCAGUUGGUUAGAGCACCGCUCUUAUAAGGCGGGGGUCCUGGGUUCAAAUCCCAGUGGGAUCA
This 74-nucleotide transfer RNA is filed under the name Candidatus Pacearchaeota archaeon. Its description in RNAcentral is "tRNA-Ile". It matches the Rfam family "tRNA". Rfam says of the family: Transfer RNA (tRNA) molecules are approximately 80 nucleotides in length. Their secondary structure includes four short double-helical elements and three loops (D, anti-codon, and T loops). Lineage: Archaea; Nanobdellati. The record is from RNAcentral. RNAcentral also lists the same sequence under 1 other name.